CCUUUUACAAUGUGUGAAUUUUUUAUUUUCUCAAAAGAAUAAAAAGAAACAUGUUAAAUAAAUUAUUGGAGGUAAUACACAUGGCACAACAAGGUACAGUUAAAUGGUUCAACGCAGACAAAGGUUUCGGUUUCAUCGAAGUUGAAGGUGGCGACGAUGUAUUCGUACACUUCUCCGCAAUCACUGGUGAAGGCUUCAAAACUUUGGACGAAGGCCAACGCGUUGAGUUCAACGUAGUUCAAGGCAACCGUGGACCACAAGCUGAGAACGUUGUAAAACUGUAAUAAAUCAUUACAGCGAAACAUCCCCUGACCAUAUUGGUUAGGGG
RNAcentral lists this small RNA (328 nucleotides) under Paenibacillus tuaregi. Its description in RNAcentral is "cspA thermoregulator". Lineage: Bacteria; Bacillati; Bacillota; Bacilli; Caryophanales; Paenibacillaceae. The record is from RNAcentral.